UACAGAGGUCCCGAGCGUUGUUCGGAUUCACUGGGCGUAAAGGGUGCGUAGGUGGCUGGGAAAGUUUGAUGUGAAAGCUCAGGGCUUAACCCUGAAAUGGCAUUGAAUACUGCCUGGCUGGAGGUUUGGAGGGGGGACUGGAAUUCUUGGUGUAGCAGUGAAAUGCGUAGAUAUCGAGAGGAACACCAGUGGCGAAGGCGAGUCCCUGGACAAGACCUGACACUGAGGCACGAAAGCCAGGGGAGCAAACAGG
RNAcentral lists this ribosomal RNA (253 nucleotides) under uncultured bacterium. RNAcentral's name for it is "partial 16S ribosomal RNA". It matches the Rfam family "Bacterial small subunit ribosomal RNA", at positions 524 to 776 of the family's 1533-position model. The record is from RNAcentral.